CGUGUAGUGAACUCUAAAGCUUUACCUCAAGAGAUACCCUCCGCGCCUCUCGUACUAAGGUAAAAUAUAAUCGGGUUAUCGUGCCCCUCUCUAAUAAGCUGGUCCACGGAAACCCCAACUGCAGUGACUAAUCAAUAUCCCACCAAAUCAAUAAAAGUUUCGACAGCAUGACAUGACAAUUAUAUUACUACCUAGCCUGUUAAGGCAAAACAAAUAGUUCAUACAAUUUCAACACAAUUUCCAAUUCAACCAUUUAUGCUAAUAUCACCAUAAGCCAUUCAAUUCAAACCAUAAAUUUACAAUACAAUCAAACAUUCUCCAAUUACUCAAUUUCUAAAAUCAUCAUUCAAUUUCAAAAUGAUUUAUAAAACUCAUUUCAUUUAAUCACAUUUUACUUAUAAAACAUAAGGAUUUACCAUUUAAACUCAUUUUUCUAUAAAAUCACAAAAACGAAUAAAAACUACUUUAGAUAACUAAGACGAUAAUAAGGUUACUCACAAUAUCGGGAGUCGAUGUACUCCUAAGCCCGGUCUUCGAGUACAAUCUCCUUACCGUUAUCGGAAGUUUCACCACCUAAACAUAAUGCACAACAAGCAAUUUAUUAUAUUUGUAUUAAACCGUUAUAAAACUAAUUUAGGCUCUAUAUAAAUGCAUGAAAUGGGAUGCGAAAUGUUCAUAUUAUUAUCUAAAUAUGGUGUUCUAUGUAGUUUCAAUUAUGUAUCGAAAUAAAAUGGUAUUGGCCUAAUUCGAUCUAUACACCGGUUAAUUGGCCAAUACAUCCAAUUCAACUUCGAUUAACUUGAUUCCACUUCCAACACUCCAAGUCAUCAAUUACAAGUUAAAUAAUAUGUAAUAUCACAAAAAUCCAUCAUCAAUAUCUUCCUUGUAAAAUUCGGCCAUUGAAGGUUUAGUGUAGAAUAUGUAAUUUUCAUGCUUGAUUUUUACACCUUACAUCAUAAAACAACUAAAAUCACCUAAAUAGCAUGAAAUUCAUCAAAGUCCAUUAUCCAAUUUCUCUCUUGAAAUUUCAGCCAAGGAGUGUGGGUGAAGGGCAUGAAAUGUCUUGCUUGUUUUUCAUGCUAAACAUUACCAAACAACUAAAAACACUAAGAUACCUUGAAAUCUAACCAAAUAAAUCAUCAAAUCUUCUCUCCCUAAAAUCGGUCAGCCAUGAAUCCUUCAUGAGAUCUUGAAUUUUAACCAUGGUAAUUGAAAAGAAUGCAUAGGAAAGGUAGAUCACAAGCUAGAAUUAAGAAAUUUUACCUUUACUUGCUUAAUUCCUUGAAAUCCAAUAAAUUUUCUCUUGAUUUUCUUCUCUAGGGUUUGUUCUAAGCUUUUUCCCUUUUGUUCUUAGCUUGGCCGGC
Molecule: long non-coding RNA, 1364 nt
Filed under: Theobroma cacao (cacao)
Lineage: Eukaryota; Viridiplantae; Streptophyta; Magnoliopsida; Malvales; Malvaceae
Description: long non-coding RNA (TCAC_LNC001178)
Source: RNAcentral